RNAcentral lists this ribosomal RNA (433 nucleotides) under uncultured bacterium. Its description in RNAcentral is "partial 16S ribosomal RNA". It matches the Rfam family "Bacterial small subunit ribosomal RNA", at positions 29 to 507 of the family's 1533-position model. The record is from RNAcentral.
AACGAACGCUGGCGGCAUGCCUAACACAUGCCAGUCGAACGAGACCUUCGGGUCUAGUGGCGCACGGGUGCGUAACGCGUGGGAACCUGCCCUUAGGUUCGGAAUAACUCCCCGAAAGGGGUGCUAAUACCGGAUAAUGUCUUCGGACCAAAGAUUUAUCGCCUUUAGAUGGGCCCGCGUUGGAUUAGCUAGUUGGUAGGGUAAAAGCCUACCAAGGCGACGAUCCAUAGCUGGUCUGAGAGGAUGAUCAGCCACACUGGGACUGAGACACGGCCCAGACUCCUACGGGAGGCAGCAGUGGGGAAUAUUGGACAAUGGGCGAAAGCCUGAUCCAGCAAUGCCGCGUGAGUGAUGAAGGCCUUAGGGUUGUAAAGCUCUUUUACCCGGGAUGAUAAUGACAGUACCGGGAGAAUAAGCUCCGGCUAACUCCGUG